Molecule: ribosomal RNA, 20 nt
Filed under: Millettia thonningii
Lineage: Eukaryota; Viridiplantae; Streptophyta; Magnoliopsida; Fabales; Fabaceae
Also listed under: 65 other names
Description: partial large subunit ribosomal RNA
Source: RNAcentral
CGAGACCUCAGGUCAGACGG